Molecule: ribosomal RNA, 340 nt
Filed under: Oncomelania hupensis hupensis
Lineage: Eukaryota; Metazoa; Mollusca; Gastropoda; Littorinimorpha; Pomatiopsidae
Description: partial large subunit ribosomal RNA
Rfam family: Bacterial large subunit ribosomal RNA
Source: RNAcentral
AAUCAUUUGCCCUAUAAUUGAGGGCUAGUAUGAAUGGUUUGACAUGAGCAUAGCUGUCUCCUUAAAAUUUUAUAAAAUUUGGUUUUUAGGUGAAGAAACCUAAAUUAAAUUGAAAGACAAGAAGACCCUAUCGAGCUUUAGAAUAAUUAAUUAAAAAAUAUAAAUAAAACAAUUAAUUUUAAUUAAAAACUUUGGUUGGGGCGACUGAGGAACAUAUAAAGCUUCCUUAAUUAAACAAUGCUGAUAAGCAAUGAUCCAGGAAAUCUGAUUAAGAAAAUUAGUUACCGUAGGGAUAACAGCAUAAUCUUUUUUGAGAGCUCUUAUCGAAAAAAAGGUUUGU